Non-coding RNA from Brachyspira sp. CAG:700, 353 nucleotides. The record is from Rfam. NCBI's taxonomy places the organism in Bacteria, Pseudomonadati, Spirochaetota, Spirochaetia, Brachyspirales, Brachyspiraceae.
GGGGAUGCUCUGGCUUCGACUGCGAUGGUUGAGUCAUAUUUUGCAUAGUCGCGCUAGGUGUAUGCGCGUUAAUAUCAUACUAAAAUUAUAAUUGCAGACGAAUAUGCAAUUGCAGCCUAAUUGAGGCUGUCGCUGAUUUUAUAAUUUGUCUAUGGGUUAUUUUAUCGGCGUUGAAACACAUAGAACUUGUAUCGAGCGCCGUUUGAACUUGAAUACAUGUAUAAUCAAACUAGUCUUGCGGUUUUUCUGCUUAUCUUAUAGCCGUUAGGCGAAACUUUAAAGAUAAGAUACGCUAUGUAGACGAAUAUGGGGCGCUUCGUAGGACGCGGGUUCGAGUCCCGCCAUCUCCAAUU